RNAcentral lists this ribosomal RNA (482 nucleotides) under uncultured bacterium. RNAcentral describes it as "partial 16S ribosomal RNA". It matches the Rfam family "Bacterial small subunit ribosomal RNA", at positions 28 to 523 of the family's 1533-position model. The record is from RNAcentral.
GACGAACGCUGGCGGCGUGCUUAACACAUGCAAGUCGAACGAUGAAACCUAGCUUGCUAGGUCGAUUAGUGGCGAACGGGUGAGUAACACGUGACUAACCUGCCCCUUUCUCUGGGAUAACGCUCCGAAAGGAGUGCUAAUACCGGAUACUCACAUCGAGGCACAUGCCUUGAUGUGGAAAGUUUUUCGGAAAGGGAUGGAGUCGCGGCCUAUCAGCUUGUUGGUGAGGUAACGGCUCACCAAGGCGACGACGGGUAGCCGGCCUGAGAGGGGGACCGGCCACACUGGGACUGAGACACGGCCCAGACGCCUACGGGAGGCAGCAGUGGGGAAUAUUGCACAAUGGGCGCAAGCCUGAUGCAGCGACGCCGCGUGAGGGAUGAAGGUCUUCGGAUUGUAAACCUCUUUCAGUAGGGACGAAGCGAAAGUGACGGUACCUAAAGAAGAAGCACCGGCUAACUACGUGCCAGCCGCCGCGGUAA